ACAGGAAAUAACUCUCUCAUGCAAUUGAAAUUAAGCAUGUUAGGAAUAGGAGGAGAACCUCAUCCUAACAUGAGCAAAGUCGAAGGCCCAAUUUCUAAAAGAUCGGAUGGGGGGAAAGGCUCUCACAACGACCCUGAUGUGCCCCCACAGCCUUGUUAGGAACAGGAGGAGAACCUCAUCCUAACAUGAGCAAAGUCGAAGGCUCGAUUUCCUAAAAGAUCAGAUGGGGGGAGAGGCCCUCACAACGGCCCUGAUGUGCCCCCACAACUUUGUUAGGAAUAGGAGGAGAACCUCGUCCUAACAUGAGCAAAGUCGAAGGCCCGAUUUCCUAAAAGACCAGAUGGGGGGAGAGGCCCUUAUAAUGGCCCAGAUGUGGCCCCACAGCCUUGUUAGGAAUAGGAGGAGAACCUUGUCCUAACAUGAGCAAAGUCGAAGGCCCGAUUUCUUAAAAGACUAGAUUGGGGGAGAGGCCCUUACAACGGCCCUUAUGUGCCCCACAGUCUUGUUAGGAACAGGAGGAGAACCUCGUCCUAACAUGAGCAAAGCUGAAGGCCCAGUUUUCUAAAAGAUUUGAUAGGGGGAGAGGCCCUUACAACGGCCCUUAUGUGCCCCCACAGUCUUGUUAGGAACAGGAGGAGAACCUCAUCCUAACAUGAGCAAAAUCGAAGGCCUGAUUUCCUAAA
RNAcentral lists this long non-coding RNA (683 nucleotides) under Elaeis guineensis (African oil palm). RNAcentral's name for it is "long non-coding RNA (EGUI_LNC062787)". The record is from RNAcentral. Lineage: Eukaryota; Viridiplantae; Streptophyta; Magnoliopsida; Arecales; Arecaceae.